AACGAACGCUGGCGGCAUGCCUAACACAUGCAAGCCGAACGAGAUCUUCGGGUCUAGUGGCGCACGGGUGCGUAACGCGUGGAAAUCUGCCCUUUGGUUCGGAAUAACAGUUGGAGACGACUGCUAAUACCGGAUGAUGACGAAAGUCCAAAGAUUUAUCGCCAGAGGAUGAGCCCGCGUAGGAUUAGCUAGUUGGUGUGGUAAAGGCGCACCAAGGCGACGAUCCUUAGCUGGUCUGAGAGGAUGAUCAGCCACACUGGGACUGAGACACGGCCCAGACUCCUACGGGAGGCAGCAGUGGGGAAUAUUGGACAAUGGGCGAAAGCCUGAUCCAGCAAUGCCGCGUGAGUGAUGAAGGCCUUAGGGUUGUAAAGCUCUUUUACCCGGGAUGAUAAUGACAGUACCGGGAGAAUAAGCUCCGGCUAACUCCGUGCCAGCAGCCGCGGUAA
Molecule: ribosomal RNA, 449 nt
Filed under: uncultured bacterium
Lineage: Bacteria
Description: partial 16S ribosomal RNA
Rfam family: Bacterial small subunit ribosomal RNA
Source: RNAcentral